This 465-nucleotide ribosomal RNA is filed under the name uncultured bacterium. Its description in RNAcentral is "partial 16S ribosomal RNA". It matches the Rfam family "Bacterial small subunit ribosomal RNA", at positions 28 to 507 of the family's 1533-position model. The record is from RNAcentral.
GACGAACGCUGGCGGCGUGCUUAACACAUGCAAGUCGAACGGAAAGGCCCUGCUUGCCGGGUACUCGAGUGGCGAACGGGUGAGUAACACGUGGGUGAUCUGCCCUGCACUUCGGGAUAAGCCUGGGAAACUGGGUCUAAUACCGGAUAGGAGCCAUUUUUAGUGUGAUGGUUGGAAAGUUUUUUCGGUGUAGGAUGAGCUCGCGGCCUAUCAGCUUGUUGGUGGGGUAAUGGCCUACCAAGGCGGCGACGGGUAGCCGGCCUGAGAGGGUGGACGGCCACAUUGGGACUGAGAUACGGCCCAGACUCCUACGGGAGGCAGAAGUGGGGAAUAUUGCACAAUGGGCGCAAGCCUGAUGCAGCGACGCCGCGUGGGGGAUGACGGCCUUCGGGUUGUAAACUCCUUUCGCUAGGGACGAAGCUUUUUGUGACGGUACCUAGAGAAGAAGCACCGGCUAACUACGUG